This is a non-coding RNA of Pangasius djambal, 72 nucleotides long. The record is from the annotation of a GenBank genome assembly. NCBI's taxonomy places the organism in Eukaryota, Metazoa, Chordata, Actinopteri, Siluriformes, Pangasiidae.
UCCCUGGAGGACUAGUGAAUAGGCCAUGGUGCUCUCACUGCAACGGACAGGGUUCGAUUCCCAGACAGGGAA